UACAGAGGUCUCAAGCGUUGUUCGGAUUCAUUGGGCGUAAAGGGUGCGUAGGCGGCGCGGUAAGUCGGGUGUGAAAUCUUGGAGCUUAACUCCGAAACUGCAUUCGAUACUGCCGUGCUUGAGGACUGGAGAGGAGACUGGAAUUUACGGUGUAGCGGUGAAAUGCGUAGAUAUCGUAAGGAAGACCAGUGGCGAAGGCGGGUCUCUGGACAGUUCCUGACGCUGAGGCACGAAGGCCAGGGGAGCGAACGGG
RNAcentral lists this ribosomal RNA (253 nucleotides) under uncultured bacterium. RNAcentral's name for it is "partial 16S ribosomal RNA". It matches the Rfam family "Bacterial small subunit ribosomal RNA", at positions 524 to 776 of the family's 1533-position model. The record is from RNAcentral.